GGAAGCGGAAGGGGAACUGGUGUCCCCCGCGGCCUUCAAAGCCGUUGUUGUGUGCUAUAACCACACAGGAUCGGUUCGAUUCCGAUGCGCUUCCGCCA
RNAcentral lists this transfer RNA (98 nucleotides) under Gemmatimonadota bacterium. Its description in RNAcentral is "Gemmatimonadetes bacterium tRNA-Sec". It matches the Rfam family "Selenocysteine transfer RNA". Lineage: Bacteria; Pseudomonadati; Gemmatimonadota. The record is from RNAcentral.